UCGGUCGUGAUUUGAUUCGUGUUCGGUUGUAUUACUAAAAUUUUGGCCAUGUAUAUUGUUUAUUCAAAAACAAAUAGGAUGAGCCACCAAGCCCAUGCAUGAAAGCCCAUUUAUUUUAAGUCCUAAUUUUAUCCACGUACUGGUGGCCUAUUCUUUUGGAAGAUGGGCAAUUUUUGAAGCCAUACACUCAUGGUUUAUUCUCAAAUUGAAAAACAGUAGCAACGUUUUCUUUAUUUCCUCUUAUUUCCUUCAACUAAAACCAUUCUUUUACCCUAAUUUCUUUCCACUCUUAAACCAAAAUUCGAGCCGUCGCAAUUCUCUCUAAUCCUUGGAAAUAAACUCUAGAAAUAACCCUCCUUUUUCAUUGUGAAAUUCGCUUUGUUUAGAGAACCGCUUCGUCUCAGCUGUAGUAGACUCGAUCCCCUACAAUUCUAUAGUUUCAGAUUCAGAUUUGACCCGUCGAAUGCUCGUGCUUCGGAGUCUACGCAUGGUUAGCUGUUUGCCAAGAUUCACGUGGAUAAGCAAACAGUGAGUUUGUAGUGCUAUUUACCGCUUUAUUAAG
Molecule: long non-coding RNA, 562 nt
Organism: Mercurialis annua (annual mercury)
Lineage: Eukaryota; Viridiplantae; Streptophyta; Magnoliopsida; Malpighiales; Euphorbiaceae
Exons: 3
Source: RefSeq, a predicted model, not a curated record